AGACACUGAUGAAGUCCGGAAGAAGUCCGGAGUAGAGUCGUCCGUGGUUGGAAGAAGUCUGGAAGGAAUUUCGCGAAUAGUCGAUCACUGUAGAAAAUCGAUCGAUAGUGGAGUUCAGAGGGCAUUUGGAGCAAUCCGAUGGAUGAAUGGAGAAGCUCAUGGUUAGAGAAGUCCGGAUGGCAUUAUGGAAGCUCGGACGGUCGAAGGAGUUCGGAAAGAUGCCACAUAAGGUCGGAAGCCGGAAAAGCCCUGGAAGGGUCGGCCUUUUACAAACUUCAGCUGGGGGUAUUUUAUACCCAACAAGUUCCAAGUCGAGAGCCAAGGUUUUCAGAUCUCUUUCUUUAGUCUCUAGGUUAGAUCUCUUUUUCCUUUCUCUUUCUUUUUGGAUUUUUCUGCCAUUUCUGAUGGCUAGUAGC
This 416-nucleotide long non-coding RNA is filed under the name Elaeis guineensis (African oil palm). RNAcentral describes it as "long non-coding RNA (EGUI_LNC032978)". Lineage: Eukaryota; Viridiplantae; Streptophyta; Magnoliopsida; Arecales; Arecaceae. The record is from RNAcentral.